RNAcentral lists this small RNA (496 nucleotides) under Arabidopsis thaliana (thale cress). RNAcentral's name for it is "ATSL195160". Lineage: Eukaryota; Viridiplantae; Streptophyta; Magnoliopsida; Brassicales; Brassicaceae. The record is from RNAcentral.
CUCUCUCUCUCUCUCUCUCUCUCUAUUUUGAUAGAUGAAAAAAUAGUACAAUACCAUAUUCUCACCAAAAAUAGUAGAAUACUGUUUACCGUUCUACAAAAUCCGUGAAAUCAUAAUUUUGAAAGACAUUUUAUGCAUACAUUUUUCCCGCCAAAACCUUAUAUUCAAGGUCUUAUGUAUUUUGCACCAAAACUUUAAAACUAGGUGUAGACAUCCGGGUACGCGGAUCGGGUUCGGCUAAAACCCAAUCAAGUAAGGAUCUUUUGGUUAGAGAGGGCCAAUUUUAAAGACCAAUACCCAAAUUUUAUAUUAAAUACUCGUGUUUUAGGUAAGAUUUUGGGUUUUCGGUAAAUUUGGAUAUUCUAAUCAAAUAUCCGGGUAUAUUUGGGUUCGUGUCGGGUUCUUGUUUGGUUGUUUGGGUCGAGGAGUUUAGGACCCAAUAGGAUAAAUCUAAAUUUUUGGCUUUGGUUUCAGGUCCGAUUUUUGGGUCGAAAAA